Molecule: ribosomal RNA, 253 nt
Filed under: uncultured bacterium
Lineage: Bacteria
Description: partial 16S ribosomal RNA
Rfam family: Bacterial small subunit ribosomal RNA
Source: RNAcentral
UACGUAGGUGGCGAGCGUUGUCCGGAUUUACUGGGCGUAAAGGGCGUGCAGGCGGUUUGUUAAGUGCAGGGUGAAAGCUCCCGGCUCAACUGGGAGAGGUCCUUGCAUACUGGCGAACUCGAGGGAGGCAGAGGAAAGUGGAAUUCCCGGUGUAGUGGUGAUAUGCGUAGAUAUCGGGAGGAACACCUGUGGCGAAGGCGGCUUUCUGGACGACAACUGACGCUGAGACGCGAAAGCGUGGGGAGCAAACAGG